GACGAACGCUGGCGGCAUGCCUAACACAUGCAAGUCGAACGAAACCUUCGGGUCUCGUGGCGCACGGGUGCGUACCCCGUGGGAACAUGCCCUUAUGGUCGGAAUAACUCCCCGAAAGGGGUGCUAAUACCGGAUAGUGUCUUCGGACCAAUGAUUUAUCGCCCUUGGAUGUGCCGGCGUUGGAUUAGCUAGUUGUUAGGGUAAUAGCCUACCAAGGCGAGAAUUUGGAGCUGGUCAGAGAGGAUGAUCAGCGGCACUGAGACUGAGACGCGGCCGAAACUCCUACGGGAGGAAGCAGUGGGGAAUAUUGAACAAGGGGCGAAGGGAUGAGCCUGCAGGGCCUCGUGAGGUAUGAUGGCCUUGGGGUUGAAAAGCUCUUUUAGCCGGGAGGAUAAUGACGGUACCGGGAGAAUAAGCUCCGGCUAACUCCGUG
This 433-nucleotide ribosomal RNA is filed under the name uncultured bacterium. RNAcentral's name for it is "partial 16S ribosomal RNA". It matches the Rfam family "Bacterial small subunit ribosomal RNA", at positions 28 to 507 of the family's 1533-position model. The record is from RNAcentral.